RNAcentral lists this ribosomal RNA (455 nucleotides) under uncultured Bacillus sp. RNAcentral's name for it is "bacterial SSU rRNA". It matches the Rfam family "Bacterial small subunit ribosomal RNA", at positions 930 to 1382 of the family's 1533-position model. The record is from RNAcentral. Lineage: Bacteria; Bacillati; Bacillota; Bacilli; Caryophanales; Bacillaceae.
CGGUGGAGCAUGUGGUUUAAUUCGAAGCAACGCGAAGAACUUACCAGGUCUUGACAUCCCUGACAACCCGAGAGAUCGGGCGUUCCCUUCGGGGGACGAGGGUGACAGGUGGUGCAUGGUUGUCGUCAGCUCGUGUCGUGAGAUGUUGGGUUAAGUCCCGCAACGAGCGCAACCCUACCGUUUAGUUUGCUAACGCGUGAAGGCGAGCACUCUAGACGAACUGCCGUUGACAAAACGGAGGAAGGUGGGGAUGACGUCAAAUCAUCAUGCCCCUUAUGUUCUGGGCUACACACGUGCUACAAUGGCCGGUACAGACGGACGCAAAGCCGCGAGGUGGAGCAAAUCCUAAAAAGACCGGUCUCAGUUCGGAUUGCAGGCUGCAAUUCGCCUGCAUGAAGUCGGAAUCGCUAGUAAUCGCAGGUCAGCAUACUGCGGUGAAUACGUUCCCGGGCCUU